GGAUCAAUUUGCUGGUCGUGCCUUUGGUACGUACUGGUAUUAUUGGUUUCUCCUUUCUGAAGAACUACGAUGUCAUUAAUUUGGUGUCGUGGGGAAUCAGGACUGUUACCUUGAAAAAAUUAGAGUGUUUAAAGCAGGCUCACGCUUGAAUACAUUAGCAUGGAAUAACGAAAUAGGACGUUUGAUUUUAUUUUGUUGGUUUCUAGGAUCGACGUA
RNAcentral lists this ribosomal RNA (216 nucleotides) under Campeiostachys nutans. RNAcentral's name for it is "Elymus nutans partial small subunit ribosomal RNA". The stretch from base 38 to 216 matches the Rfam family "Eukaryotic small subunit ribosomal RNA", at positions 684 to 864 of the family's 1831-position model. Lineage: Eukaryota; Viridiplantae; Streptophyta; Magnoliopsida; Poales; Poaceae. The record is from RNAcentral.